AAGUCGUACGCGAAAGGGGGCAACCCCCGGUAGCGUGGCAGACGGGUGAGUAACACGUGAGCAAUCUGCCCCGAGGUGGGGAAUAACUUUCCGAAAGGAAGGCUAAUACCGCAUGACAUCGCAGGGUCCUCGGAUCCCGCGAUCAAAGCUGGCCUCUGUUUACAAGCUAGCGCCACGGGAGGAGCCCGCGCCCCAUUAGCUAGUUGGUGAGGUAACGGCUCACCAAGGCGACGAUGGGUAGCCGGCCUGAGAGGGUGAUCGGCCACACUGGAACUGAGACACGGUCCAGACUCCUACGGGAGGCAGCAGUGAGGAAUAUUGCGCAAUGGGCGAAAGCCUGACGCAGCGACGCCGCGUGGAGGAUGAAGGUCUUCGGAUUGUAAACUCCUGUCGUGCGGGACGAAUGCCUCGGUCGUGAACAACGGCCGGGGUUGACGGUACCGCAGGAGGAAGCCCCGGCUAACUCCGUGCCAGCAGCCGCGGUAAUACGGAGGGGGCCAGCGUUGUUCGGAAUCAUUGGGCGUAAAGGGUGCGUAGGCGGCCGAUCAAGUCGAACGUGAAAUCUCCCGGCUCAACCGGGAACCUGCGUCCGAUACUGCUCGGCUCGAGUCCGGGAGAGGGUAGUGGAAUUCCCAGUGUAGCGGUGAAAUGCGUAGAUACUGGGAGGAACACCGGUGGCGAAGGCGGCUACCUGGACGGGUACUGACGCUGAGGCGCGAGAGCUGGGGGAGCAAACAGGAUUAGAUACCCUGGUAGUCCCAGCUGUAAACGAUGGGCACUUGGUGUUGCGGGUAUCGACCCCUGCAGUGCCGAAGCUAACGCAUUAAGUGCCCCGCCUGGGGAGUACGGUCGCAAGGCUGAAACUCAAAUGAAUUGACGG
RNAcentral lists this ribosomal RNA (880 nucleotides) under uncultured bacterium. RNAcentral's name for it is "bacterial SSU rRNA". It matches the Rfam family "Bacterial small subunit ribosomal RNA", at positions 59 to 916 of the family's 1533-position model. The record is from RNAcentral.